CCCGCUCAGAAACUACAAAGGAAUUGACGGGGGCCCGCACAAGCGGUGGAGCAUGUGGUUUAAUUCGAUGAUACGCGAGGAACCUUACCUGGGCUCAAAUGUAUGUUGACGUAUUCUGAAAGGGAUACUUCUUCGGACAAUAUACAAGGUGCUGCAUGGUUGUCGUCAGCUCGUGCCGUGAGGUGUCGGGUUAAGUCCCAUAACGAGCGCAACCCCUAUCAUUAGUUGCCAUCAGGUAAUGCUGGGGACUCUAAAGGAACUGCCUACGCAAGUAGUGAGGAAGGCGGGGAUGACGUCAAAUCAGCACGGCCCUUACGUCCAGGGCUACACACGUGCUACAAUGGCCGAUACAGAGGGCAGCUACCUGGUGACAGGAUGCAAAUCUCCAAAGUCGGUCUCAGUUCGGAUCGGAGUCUGCAACCCGACUCCGUGAAGUUGGAUUCGCUAGUAAUCGCGCAUCAGCCAUGGCGCGGUGAAUACGUUCCCGGGCCUU
This 493-nucleotide ribosomal RNA is filed under the name uncultured Sphingobacteriales bacterium. Its description in RNAcentral is "bacterial SSU rRNA". It matches the Rfam family "Bacterial small subunit ribosomal RNA", at positions 903 to 1382 of the family's 1533-position model. The record is from RNAcentral. Lineage: Bacteria; Pseudomonadati; Bacteroidota; Sphingobacteriia; Sphingobacteriales.